CCAGACUCCUACGGGAGGCAGCAGUGGGGAAUAUUGCACAAUGGGGGAAACCCUGAUGCAGCGACGCCGCGUGAAGGAAGAAGUAUUUCGGUAUGUAAACUUCUAUCAGCAGGGAAGAAAAUGACGGUACCUGACUAAGAAGCCCCGGCUAACUACGUGCCAGCAGCCGCGGUAAUACGUAGGUGGCAAGCGUUGUCCGGAUUUACUGGGUGUAAAGGGCGUGUAGCCGGGAAGGCAAGUCAGAUGUGAAAUCCGGAGGCUCGACCUCCGAAUUGCAUUUGAAACUGUUUUUCUUGAGUACUGGAGAGGCAGACGGAAUUCCUUGUGUAGCGGUGAAAUGCGUAGAUAUAAGGAAGAACACCAGUGGCGAAGGCGGAUGACUGGACGGCAACUGACGGUGAGGCGCGAAAGCGUGGGGAGCAAACAGGAUUAGAUACCCGCGUACC
Molecule: ribosomal RNA, 446 nt
Filed under: uncultured bacterium
Lineage: Bacteria
Description: partial 16S ribosomal RNA
Rfam family: Bacterial small subunit ribosomal RNA
Source: RNAcentral